GCAAGUCGCACGAGAACGUUUCAGCUUGCUGAAACUAGUAAAGUGGCGAACGGGUGAGUAACGCGUGGGUAAUCUACCUCCGAAUUGGGGAUAACAUUGCGAAAGCGAUGCUAAUACCGAAUGACAUCUCAAUCACUCCGGGUUUUUGAGAUCAAAGGUGGCCUCUCCAUGGAAGCUACUGUUUGGAGAUGAGCCCGCGUACCAUUAGCUUGUUGGUAGGGUAAUGGCCUACCAAGGCGACGAUGGUUAGCUGGUCUGAGAGGAUGAUCAGCCACACUGGAACUGACACACGGUCCAGACUCCUACGGGAGGCAGCAGUGAGGAAUUUUGCGCAAUGGGGGAAACCCUGACGCAGCAACGCCGCGUGAGUGAUGAAGGCUCUCGGGUCGUAAAGCUCUGUCAAGUGAGAAGAACCUGCCUUUUGCUAAUAUCACUGGGCACUGACGGUAUCACUGAAGGAAGCACCGGCUAACUCCGUG
This 479-nucleotide ribosomal RNA is filed under the name uncultured bacterium. RNAcentral's name for it is "bacterial SSU rRNA". It matches the Rfam family "Bacterial small subunit ribosomal RNA", at positions 57 to 507 of the family's 1533-position model. The record is from RNAcentral.